UUUAAUAAAGCCUACACAUCAUUUCGACACAUACACGUUGGAAUGCUUAGUGUUGUAAAUACAAUUCUACUAUGGACGCAUGCGUGGUAAGGACUUCUGAUAAAAAAAAUCCAUAACUAAAGACACUGCUCUCCUUAACUGGCUAUUGCAAAGCUGUAUGUUCAUUGCCUGAUGAGUCUUUGACUCACAGAGUGAACCUACAGAGAAUAUGGCACUAGGAAAACUAAGGAAAGAGGAAACUCUCGUUCUGCGGAAGAAGUUAAUCGGGCAGUCAUGCAGACUAUUCUAUUCAGAAGACCCUGUGAAAAUAGUAAAAGCAAGAGGUCAAUUUCUAUUCGAUGAAAAUGGCAAGCGCUAUCUGGACUGCAUCAGCAACGUUCAACAUGUGGGCCAUUGUCACCCAAGCAUUACAAAAGCUGCAUCAGCACAAAUGGACCUCCUGAACACAAAUGCUCGAUUCCUGCACGACAACAUAGUGAUGUAUGCCGACCGCCUGGCUGCCACCCUGCCAGAGAAACUGUGUGUGUUCUACUUUGUUAACUCCGGUUCAGAGGCCAAUGAUCUUGCCCUACGCUUAGCACAUCAGUACACCCAACAUGAGGAUGUAAUUGUGCUUGACCAUGCAUACCAUGGGCAUCUAAUGUCCCUCAUCGACAUUAGUCCUUACAAGUUCCGGAAACUGGCAGGACAAAAAGAAUGGGUUCAUGUGGCACCCUUACCAGACACCUACAGAGGCCUUUACAGAGAGGAUCACCCCAACCCCGGCCAAGCAUACGCUGAUACAGUAAAAGACCUAAUAGAGGAGGUGCACAGGGAUGGCCGUAAGAUCUCGGCCUUCUUUGCUGAGUCAUUGCCAAGUGUUGGAGGACAAAUAAUCUUACCCCAAGGAUACUCCACUAAAGUUGCAGAAUAUGUGCGAUCAGCUGGUGGAGUGUUUGUGGCAGACGAGGUGCAGACAGGCUUUGGACGUGUGGGAAGUCACUUCUGGGCUUUCCAGCUGCAGGGGCAGGGUUUUUGUCCCGACAUAGUGACCAUGGGUAAACCAAUGGGCAAUGGGCAUCCCCUGGCAUGUGUGGCAACCACUGAAGAGAUAGCUGGAGCUUUCACAGCCAACGGAGUGGAGUACUUCAAUACGUUUGGAGGGAAUCCAGUGUCCUGUGCAAUUGGCCUGGCAGUACUUGAUGUGAUAGAGGAAGAGGACCUAAAAGGAAAUGCCACCAGGGUGGGAGCACAUCUCAAAGAUUUGCUUAUAAAGCUACAACCACAACAUCAAAUAAUUGGAGAUGUCAGGUUAUUGUCCAGGGACCUAAAUGGGACAUCACAUGGUUUAAUGAGACGCGUCACAAAUGACGACAAUCAUGGUAGGUGUGGGGCUGUUCGUGGGUCUAGAGCUGGUUACAGACAGAGAGCAGAGGACUCCUGCCACAGAAACAGCAGCGUUGGUGGUGAAGAGGUUAAAAGAGGAGGAUAAUAUCUGUGUCAGUACAGAUGGUCCCUGGGAAAGUGUCAUUAAGUUCAAACCACCAAUGUGUUUCAGUAUGGAUGAUGCAGAACUGACAGUAAAAUGUAUUGACCGCAUCCUCACAGACAUGGAAGCCAGUGACAUAUAAACUGGAAAAGGAAGACGUCUAUGAUGUUCAGUGCCUUUUUAAGGCAUAGGAAUCACUUCAGUCAACUGAGAUGAAAACUACCAAAAAAAUUUUUUAAAAAGGGAUGCCAGCUGAACUGUUAGCCAUUCUGACAAAAAUUAAGAAACUAAUAAAAGAUUUUUUCCCCAAUCCUGACUAAUUUGUGUUCUAUCAACAACUGCGAUAUUUAAAAUAUGAUCAGUCCCAGUUAGCAAUACUGAUCAGCAACAUGUUCUCAAUACACAUAUAGUUGAGAUAAGCACUUACCAGAUCACUAUCAUUAACUCCUGUUCACAUUUAUAAAAUGCUAAAGUACUGCAGUUUUACAUAAAGUGGAGUGGGAAUUAACCAGCCAGUUUGCUGCAGGUAGUGAAGCUCUCUCCUGCAUCCGUAGAGAUGUUAACAUUACCCAAGACAAAACAAGCAAGCCAUUUAACAGUACAAAACAUUUAACAUUAACUUUACAAAUAAUAACAAAAGGAUCCAUGUGUAAUAUAAACCAAAAGUUUAUUUCUACCAAUUUGCCCAAGACACUAGAGGAAUGAGUAUCCAGUGAGAGAGGGAGUACCCUCUUACAUUAACAGGCUUGCGUUCAGUUGAAUAACACUAGUAAAGCCACUUAAAAUUGCAGACAUGAUGGGGGAAGAAUCUCCAUAAA
Notothenia coriiceps (black rockcod) is the source of this 2286-nucleotide RNA transcript. It is a transcript of the gene named 5-phosphohydroxy-L-lysine phospho-lyase, with no coding region annotated. The record is from RefSeq and is a predicted model, not a curated record. NCBI's taxonomy places the organism in Eukaryota, Metazoa, Chordata, Actinopteri, Perciformes, Nototheniidae. The transcript has 14 exons.